CAAGCACUUCCUUUUCAUAUUGAAUGGUAUCUGGAAUAAAAAAUAAUAAUAAUAAAAAAAAAAAUCACACCACCUUCCGACAGCAGCAUGCUUUAGAAAUACUGGUGGUUAUUGAGAGAUUCUCUCUGCAAAGCACUUUGCAUACAAAGAAACAGAGAAGCUUGGCAAUGUGACAAACAUUUUAUGUGAAACCUGUAGACAGAAAAACAGCCAGCAACUCCAAGAGAAAGCUGUCCAUGGUCUUCCUGAAUGUCUCUAAAGAGAUUUCAGAUUAAUCCGAGGAAAUCAGGUCUGCCUACUACUAUUAUUAUUAUUAUUCCUAAUGUAUCUUAGUCCCUAGGAGUAAUCACCACAGACUAAAAGCCCCAUGGGCUAGCGAUUAGACAAUCUCCCACCUCAGAUGCUUUCCAACAGGGAGAGCUUGCAGUCUAAUGUAAGGCAGAUGCACGUACACACACAAAGAACAGACAAACAAGGAUUAAUCAACUCUCUUAACAAUGGCUUUUCACAAACCAACAGGAAAGCAUUUUUCAAGGCAUCACAGAGAACAAACAUUUUAUGCCAGGUUUGGGAAGUAAAACGCCCAGCCCUGACGGAUGGCACAGAAUAUUGACACAAAACCCUUUACAGUCAUCCCUGAAUCCUAGCACUGACACAAAAGCUGAAUCCUGGGCUUUGGUCCAAGCUCUCAAAGCUAGAGCAGUAAUUGCAAACAUUACCCAAAGAAACUUAAUUUGGGCAUGAACUAGGAAACUUUUUUUUUUUUUUUUCCAAAUGCUUUUCAGGAAGGUUGAAGCGCCUGGCUCAGGUACAGCAUUCUGUUCCCUUAUAAAAUCUGAAUAAAACUAAGGUAAAUGUGAACCUGUAACCACAAAACUCCAUCUGUGAUCUGCUCAUGCAUUAGCUCUCAAUCUGGCAUAAAUGGGGUCUUACAACCACCUCGAUAAAAUAUACAAACAAUAAAACCAAACAUUCCCCCUUUACACCUCCAUACUGCCAAACUUCUUCAGAUAUAUUUCCAACAUUCGAAGGAAAAUUGGCUAAUCAUUUCUGAGGCAAAUUUUAAUCCCCAUUUCCUUUUCCUUUGCAAGUCUGCAAAGUGCUCCCUUAUAGGUAAUUAUCAGAUUUGAUUAAUGAACUCCAUCUGGGGACACUGGGGCUUUGUUAGCCUGGAUUAAGACUUGAAGAUCUUUGCUUGUAAAUGCUUGCCAAAAGAUGCUUGUGAUUAAUUGGCUAUUUCCAUUUUACAGAAUGCCAGUCUCUGGGCAUAAAUAACAAAUACGUGAAGUCUCCAAGGUCUCAGCAUGCAGGGUGAUCAACCAUAAUCUCGUCUGCUACAAAGUGAGCCAGACCUCAGUCCCAGUGAGGUUCUCGCCCAUGUCUAUACUUUCUCUUUUUUGGUUACUUUUCUUCUUGCAAAAAGCAGCCUGGAUAAAAUGAGCGCACUCUCAGGAAGCAGCAACAAGGAGUCUGUCUUGUGUUUAACUUCACUCAAUGAUGUUACAAGACAGUAAGGAAAACGGCUUCCCCGUUUUGCUACAAGAAGGAUUGUAUUAUCCAGAGAGCUGCAGCUGGGUCCCAGCUGCUUAUGACAGCUCUGCACAAACAUGAACGAGUUCAACAUAAAAGCAGAAAGAUGACUUCGCCUUUCUCCCUCUUGGAGCCAUUGCCUACAGAGUAAAACUUUGGACAAACGCCUGGUAGAAAGGGCAAUACUGUAGCCUUCUAGAAACUAGCCCAAUAGUUUUAUUGGAAUACAUACGUGAACCAGAACUUUCCAUGGAAGAAUUAACUUUGCAGUUAUUACCUAUGUCUCUCCUGGCUUCAUAGGUGGAAGUGAGCACUAACAGGAAUUAAGAACUGAAUUUCCUAAGGACAUAAAGGAAGGAGUGCAAGGACACUGAUACUGAUCAGCUUUGUAUUUAUACCAGUACUAGUUGGAAACAAUCUGAAACGUGAAGCAUACAGGAAAUUGACACACAAAGCAAAGCAGAGCAUCAAAACAUCUGUCAGCAUCUUCCUGCGUUGGGGCUUCAUGAAUAGUACGAGUUCAGCCACUGGAGGGCAACAUGAGCUCAGUCACCCAGGCAGAUGAAGCACUACAGCCUGGAGAACUCGGCAGCACUCACCCAGCAAGAACCACCAACGUCAGAAAAGGAAUUUCUGCAUAAAGGUGAAAACCACUCACGUAUGACCAAAAUAGUCAGUCAGGACAAAGGCUCAGACUGCUGAAGUCUCAACACCCUGCGCAGAGCUCUUGCCAGAGAGACUACCUGAGAUAUUAUCAGAAUCUAGCAGCU
Cygnus olor (mute swan) is the source of this 2300-nucleotide long non-coding RNA. RefSeq lists it as uncharacterized. Lineage: Eukaryota; Metazoa; Chordata; Aves; Anseriformes; Anatidae. The record is from RefSeq and is a predicted model, not a curated record. The transcript is spliced from 3 exons.